RNAcentral lists this long non-coding RNA (516 nucleotides) under Octopus sinensis (East Asian common octopus). RNAcentral describes it as "uncharacterized LOC118768585". The record is from RNAcentral. Lineage: Eukaryota; Metazoa; Mollusca; Cephalopoda; Octopoda; Octopodidae.
AUGUGGUAACUAUAAUAUUUGAUGGACGAAAUACAAACCUUCAAAGCUGGUUCUCUCACGAAAAGUUGAAAAAUUCACCGUGGAACGACCUAGCUUCAGCCACUGGAGUUCAAUUCUCAAUUGAGGGAUUUAGACAUGUACGUCGCUUCUAUAUAACAUUACAUGGUUUUUGUGAAGGGGACAGAGGCUGGUUGACCAUCAAUGAGGGACCACUUCACUGUCAGUUCGAAGAGUCAGAUCACUACCCUUCAAUUCGUUAUUCUGAUACAAAAUCGAAAGUCAUAUGGAACAACGGUUAUGCAUUAGCAGACUCCAUGGCCAUAUUCAUCCGCCUGAGGCAGCAGAACUAACCCAGCACUUGAUAUCCAUUGAUACUAUUGAUGUUGUUAACGUCCAUCCAAUCCAGUUGACCACCACUGGUGAUCCACAUAAGUCACGUUUUACCUUUUAAUAAAGAAUCCAUACAAAUAUUCUAUCCAACAUCGGUCUUUGAAGUUGUGAUUCUCUUUCUCUCAU